This is a long non-coding RNA of Strongylocentrotus purpuratus (purple sea urchin), 462 nucleotides long. RefSeq lists it as uncharacterized. The transcript is spliced from 3 exons. The record is from RefSeq and is a predicted model, not a curated record. Lineage: Eukaryota; Metazoa; Echinodermata; Echinoidea; Camarodonta; Strongylocentrotidae.
CAUACAUCCAACGAUACUUUCCUGACUGGCACCACAACUGUAAAUUGUUCCUCUAUCGAUAAUGCCGGAAACACUGGCAGUUGCACUCUCUUUGUAACUGUCACAGACAACGAAGCACCUACUCUGAGUUGCUCCAAUGUAACAUCCACUACGGAUGACGGACUACAUUCAUCGUCAAGUGUUGUUAUAAGCUCAACCGCAACUGACAAUGUGGAUGCAGAUCUUAAUGUGAUUUGUUCCCAUACAUCCAACGAUACUUUCCUGACAGGCACCACAACUGUAAAUUGUUCCUCUACCGAUAAUGCCGGAAACACUGGCAGUUGCACUCUAUUCGUAACAGUCACAGACAACGAAGCACCUACUCUGAGUUGCUCUAAUGUAACAUCCACUACGGAUGACGGACUACAUUCAUCGUCAAGUGUUGUUAUAAGCUCAACCGCAACUGACAAUGUGGAUGCAGAU